UCCGUUUUUAUGAUCCCCGACUUUGCGUAUUAUCUCUAAAUUCCUUUGGUCUAUUUUUUUGAUCCCCGACUUUGCGUAUUAGCUCUAAGUUCUUUCAUUCGUUUUUAUGAUCCCCGACUUUGCGAAUUAGCUCUAAGUUCUUUCGGUCCGUUUUUAUGAUCCCCGACUUUGCGUAUUAGCUCUUUAGUUCUUUCGGUCGUUUUUAAGAUCCUCGACUUUUCGUAUUAGCUCUAAGUUCUUUCGGUCCGUUUUUAUGAUCCCCGACUUUGCGUAUUAGCUCUAAGUUCUUUCGGUCCGUUUUUAUGAUCCCCGAUUUUGCGUAUUAGCUCUAAAUUCUUUCGGUCUGUUUUCAUGAUCCCCGACUUUGCGUAUUAGCUCUAAGUUCUAUCGGUCGUUUUUAUGAUCCCCGACUUUGUGUAUUAGCUCUAAGUUCUAUCGGUCCGUUUUUAUGAUCCCCGACUUUGCGUAUCAGCUCUAAGUUCUUUUGGUCGUUUUAUGAUCCCCGACUUUGCGUAUUAGCUCUAAAUUCUUUCGGUCCGUUUUUAUGAUCCCCAACUUUACGUAUUAGCUCUAAGUUCUUUCGGUCAUUUUUAUGAUCCCCGAUUUUUUGUAUUAGCUCUAUGUUCUUUCGGUCCGUUUUUAUGAUCCCCGAUUUUGCAUAUUAGCUCUAAGUUCUGUCGGUCCGUUUUUAUGAUCCCCGACUUUUCGUAUUAGCUCUAAGUUCUUUCAGUCCAAUUUUAUGAUCCCCGACUUUGCGUAUUAGCUCUAAGUUCUUUCGUUCGUUUUUAUGAUCCCCGACUUUGCGAAUUAGCUCUAAGUUCUUUCGGUCGUUUUUAUGAUCCCCAACUUUUCGUAUUAGCUCUUAAGUUCUUUCGGUCGUUUUUAAGAUCCUCGACUUUUCGUAUUAGCUCUAAGUUCUUUUGGUCUGUUUUUCUGAUCCCCGACUUUUUGUAUUAGCUCUAAGUUCUUUCGGUCCGUUUUUAUGAUCCCCGAUUUUGCGUAUUAUCUCUAAAUUCCUUUGGUCUAUUUUUAUGCUCCCCGACUUUGCGUAUUAGCUCUAAGUUCUAUCGGUCGUUUUUAUGAUCCCCGACUUUGUGUAUUAGCUCUAAGUUCUAUCGGUCCGUUUUUAUGAUCCCCGACUUUGCGUAUAAGCUCUAAGUUCUUUUGGUCGUUUCAUGAUCCCCGACUUUGCGUAUUAGCUCUAAGUUCUUACGGUCCUUUUUAUGAUCCUCGACUUUGCGUAUUAGGUCUAAGUUCUUUCGGUCCGUUUUUAUGAUCUC
RNAcentral lists this long non-coding RNA (1280 nucleotides) under Capsella rubella. RNAcentral's name for it is "long non-coding RNA (CRUB_LNC000123)". Lineage: Eukaryota; Viridiplantae; Streptophyta; Magnoliopsida; Brassicales; Brassicaceae. The record is from RNAcentral.